CGGCACUUUUUGAAAUUGGCCCUUCUGUGAAAAAAAAUCUCGACAAAUUGGCCCUUCCUCUCUGUAAUAUAUAUUUUUACAGUGACUGAUAAGCCAAUAUGCCUGGCUGGGUGUUGUUUAUUUUAAAUAUUACAUAUGUUUGAUUGUAUAUUGUUCAACUAUUAAUCAAUAUGUGACUUUUAAAAGAUAUUUAUUAUUUAUUUAUUAUUUGUUAUUAUGAC
RNAcentral lists this long non-coding RNA (221 nucleotides) under Mytilus galloprovincialis (Mediterranean mussel). Lineage: Eukaryota; Metazoa; Mollusca; Bivalvia; Mytilida; Mytilidae. The record is from RNAcentral.